UGUUCUCUGCGGACACAGAGUGAGGAGUGGCCCCGGGGUCCUGGCCCAGCGCAGUCCAGCCGGCGUGGCAGCACCCCCUGCCGGCCCUCGCCGGGCUCCCGCCCCGCCUUCCUGCCUCCAGGUCCCCUGCAGCCUCCAGACUCGUGCCGCAGGGGACCCAGGUCGGAUCGGCGUGGAAGUGGGAUAGCUACGCACGACUUGGUGCGGCAGAGCAGAACACUGACCAGCGCCAAGCAAAUUACGCUUCCUCUGGGUUGAAGCCCCAGCUCCAGCCCCAGGCCGACGCUGGUCGCUGAAGGCGGCCUCUGAAAGAUAGUCUUUCAGCUUGGCAGAAAAUGCUAUUCCAGCCGUCCUGCCUUCCCUGGGGACAGGCACCUGGAGGAUGGAUGGGCAAGCAGGGUGCUGCCCAAAGGAAAGAGAACAGCACUGGAAAAGGAAGACAGAGCCUCAAGCUGUUGCCCUGCUGUCACAGCUCACAGCAACCUCCAACUCCUGGGCUCAAGUGAUUCUCCUGCCUCCGUCUCCCAAGUAGCUGGGACUGCAGAUACCCGCCACAACCCCCGUCUAUUUUUUAGUUGCAGCCGUUGUUGUUUGAUGGUCCUGGGCUGGAUUUGAACCCGUCAGCUCCAGUGUAUGUGGCUGGUGCCUUAGCUGCUUGAGCCACAGGCGUGGAGCCAAAAUUAAUGUCAUUUUCGGAAAGAUGUUUGGAGAACACUUAGAGAUCUAAAAAUAGACUUACCAUUCAAUCCUAUUAUUCCUGUACUAGGUAUAUACCCAGAAGACCAAAAGUCACAUUAUAACAAAGAUAUUUGUACCAGAAUGUUUGUUGCAGCCCAAUUCAUAAUUGCUAAGUCAUGGAAAAAGCCCAAGUUCCCAUUGAUCCACGAAUGGAUUAAUAAAUUGUAGUAUAUGUGCACCAUGGAAUAUUACGCAGCCUUAAAAAAGAUGG
Long non-coding RNA from Nycticebus coucang (slow loris), 949 nucleotides. RefSeq lists it as uncharacterized. Lineage: Eukaryota; Metazoa; Chordata; Mammalia; Primates; Lorisidae. The record is from RefSeq and is a predicted model, not a curated record. The transcript is spliced from 3 exons.